AUUUAUAAUACCAUUACAGAUUCCAUGUGACGGAUACAGAUUGGUAUUCCCACCAGCACUCGGUGUCAUAUUUUUCUCUGUGAUAUACUAUAUUGUGUCUUCCAUCGUUCAGCCUGUACACCUUACCUACGCCUUAGUUUCAGGUGCUUUAUUUGGUUUCAUCAUGUACGAUGUGCAGCACUACUUUUUGCACCAUAGCAACCCAAGAAGCAAGGUGAUGCGCAAGAUCAAGGCAUACCAUUCCAACCACCAUUUUGUGCAGCACUCUAGGGGAUAUGGCGUCUCAAUAUUUGGCCGGAUAUGGGAUGUGGUCUUCAAUACAGGCUUUGAUGAUGUGGACACCAAACUGGAAUAACCAGCAGUCUAGCUGUGUAUUUGUGAUAGAUAAUGAACUGCAAAUUGUCGGCGUUAUACAUACGUUUCCCGCCCUCUCUAACUAUAUUAUUUUAUCUUACAAUGCAACUCUUUAUACAAUUUGUACUUCAACAAAACAACUUUAUAAGAGUUUCUCCAUGAUGGAAUUGUUUUAUAUUACUGUUUUGUAUCACUGUUCUUUUUUCUGUGUGUGUAGUAUUCAAUUUGUCAACCAUGAUUGGAUAAGACAAUCCACGUAAUGCCAAUUAAAUUGCAUUGUGGGUAAUUUAUCAAAAGCGAAAUGCAAAUAAUAUCGUAUUAUUAUACCAUACCGAUAUUAUCAUCUGUUUUUCCCUUGUUUCUAAGAUUUACCUGAAAUUUCACCUGGGUGACUACUUGACUUAUACUAGAAUUGAACAUUUGAUGGCCAUUAUACCUAAACAUUUUUUCUGGGCUACAAAUGUUGG
This is a long non-coding RNA of Saccoglossus kowalevskii, 821 nucleotides long. NCBI's taxonomy places the organism in Eukaryota, Metazoa, Hemichordata, Enteropneusta, Harrimaniidae. The record is from RefSeq and is a predicted model, not a curated record.